This 427-nucleotide ribosomal RNA is filed under the name Echinoplaca campanulata. Its description in RNAcentral is "SSU rRNA". It matches the Rfam family "Bacterial small subunit ribosomal RNA", at positions 453 to 902 of the family's 1533-position model. The record is from RNAcentral. Lineage: Eukaryota; Fungi; Ascomycota; Lecanoromycetes; Ostropales; Graphidaceae.
CAAAGUAAAUUUUGAUAAUGACAUCAUUUGCUUUACGGUCUUGACUAACUCAUGUGCCAGCAGUCGCGGUAAGACAUGGAAGGCCAGCGUUAUUCAUCUUUAUUAGGUUUAAAGGGUACCUAGACGGUGGUAUAAGCUUUUAUCUCUAAAGAUAAUCGUACUAUACUCACUAGAGUUUAAUGUAAGGAAUCCAGAACGGUGAGUGUAGGGAUAAUAUCUGUUGAUACCACUUAGAAACUGGUUUAGGUGAAGACAGGUUCUUAUGUAAAAACUGACGUUGAGGGACGAAGGCUCAAUUAAAGGAACGGGAUUAGUUACCCCAGUACUAAGAGCAGACAAUGAUGAAUGUCAUAUGUAAGAGUAAUUUUAUGUAUAAAUGAAAGUGUAAGCAUUUCACCUCAAGAGUAAUAUGGCAACAUAUAAACUG